GACGAACGCUGGCGGCGUGCUUAACACAUGCAAGUCGAGCGGUAAGGCCCUUUCGGGGGUACACGAGCGGCGAACGGGUAGAGUAACACGUGGGUGACCUGCCCUCAGCUCUGGGAUAAGCCUGGGAAACCGGGUCUAAUACCGGAUAUGACUCCAUGACGCAUGUUGUGGGGUGGAAAGCCUUGUGCGGCUGAGGAUGGGCCCGCGGCCUAUCAGCUUGUUGGNGGGGUGAGGCCUACCAAGGCGACGACGGGUAGCCGGCCUGAGAGGGCGACCGGCCACACUGGGACUGAGACACGGCCCAGACUCCUACGGGAGGCAGCAGUGGGGAAUCUUGCGCAAUGGGCGAAAGCCUGACGCAGCGACGCCGCGUGAGGGAUGACGGCCUCGGUUGUAA
This 397-nucleotide ribosomal RNA is filed under the name uncultured bacterium. RNAcentral's name for it is "bacterial SSU rRNA". It matches the Rfam family "Bacterial small subunit ribosomal RNA", at positions 28 to 428 of the family's 1533-position model. The record is from RNAcentral.